CAGAUUGGCAUUGCUGGCAUUGUGGAGCAGAUGGUUGCUGGCACUGUGGAGUACAUUGUUGUUGGCACUGUUGAGUUUGUUGGCACGAAGUCUGACAUUGUUGGCAAGCUGGUGCAGAUUGCUGUUGACAUUGUGGAGCACACUGUUGCU
Non-coding RNA from Caenorhabditis elegans, 150 nucleotides. The record is from Ensembl. NCBI's taxonomy places the organism in Eukaryota, Metazoa, Nematoda, Chromadorea, Rhabditida, Rhabditidae.